Non-coding RNA from Prunus avium (sweet cherry), 88 nucleotides. NCBI's taxonomy places the organism in Eukaryota, Viridiplantae, Streptophyta, Magnoliopsida, Rosales, Rosaceae. The record is from RefSeq and is a predicted model, not a curated record.
AUAAUCCAUUAUGGUCGCCCUACAUUGGGAGGCUCAGAUGAAAAUGAGGUGAGGAGAGAAUCGUACAACAAAAUGAAGGUGUUCAAAA